RNAcentral lists this unclassified non-coding RNA (326 nucleotides) under Hevea brasiliensis (rubber tree). Lineage: Eukaryota; Viridiplantae; Streptophyta; Magnoliopsida; Malpighiales; Euphorbiaceae. The record is from RNAcentral.
AGAAGAUCUUGAUUGUUUACAGGUGAAAACGAGACCCCACUACUACUGACAGCUGGAGCAUGUUGUUGUUGCUGCUGCUGCGGACGAUAAGAUGAAUAAUUUCCCCCCAAGUUGAAUCCAGCAGACCUGCCCAUAGGGAAGUGCUGAGAUUGCAUCAUUGACAUGCUGUUGUCAUGCAGUUGUUCUUUCUGAUGCAAAUCCAUAGUGUAAUCAGCAUUACCACCUUUAAAUCCAGGUAGAGCUGGAAAGUCUUCAUUCUGGAUGCUGAACUCUUGGUUUUGUUGAACAAUGGGGCUGACUCCAAGACCUUGUUUCCGUAACGAACC